RNAcentral lists this ribosomal RNA (420 nucleotides) under uncultured bacterium. RNAcentral describes it as "bacterial SSU rRNA". It matches the Rfam family "Bacterial small subunit ribosomal RNA", at positions 356 to 771 of the family's 1533-position model. The record is from RNAcentral.
GGGGAAUUUUCCGCAAUGGGCGAAAGUCUGACGGAGCGACGCCGCGUGCGGGAUGAAGGCCUUCGGGUUGUAAACCGCUGUCAGUUGGGAGGAAAUGCAUAGGGGCUAUCCCCUAUGUUUGACCAAUCUUCAGAGGAAGUCCGGGCUAAGUACGUGCCAGCAGCCGCGGUAACACGUACCGGACGAACGUUAUUCGGAAUCACUGGGCUUAAAGAGUACGUAGGCGGUCUGGUAGGUGGGGUGUGAAAGCCCACGGCUCAACCGUGGAAUUGCGCUCCAAACCAUCAGACUUGAGGGAGACAGGGGUGAGCGGAACAAAUGGUGGAGCGGUGAAAUGCGUUGAUAUCAUUUGGAACACCGGUGGCGAAGGCGGCUCACUGGGUCUCUUCUGACGCUGAGGUACGAAAGCUAGGGUAGCGA